This 703-nucleotide ribosomal RNA is filed under the name uncultured fungus. RNAcentral describes it as "eukaryotic LSU rRNA". The stretch from base 246 to 399 matches the Rfam family "5.8S ribosomal RNA". The record is from RNAcentral. Lineage: Eukaryota; Fungi.
UCCGUAGUGAACCUGCGGAAGGAUCAUUACUGAAGUGAUUUGGGGAUGUUGCUGGCCUCUUCUCGGAGGCAAUGUGCACUCCUUGAGCAAUUCAAAAUUUCCAUCACACCCUUGUGCACAUCUUGUAGGCGUCCACUCACCUUCAUUGGUCUGGGCGUCCUAUGUAUUCCCUCAUCUCACACUUUUUGAAUGGUGCUCUUGAAUGCAUCUUAUGGAUUAUUUGUAAAAAAAGUAAUCACAGAAACAACUUUCAACAAUGGAUCUCUUGGCUCUCGCAUCGAUAAAGAACGCAGCGAAAUGCGAUACGUAAUGUGAAUUGCAGAAUUCCGUGAAUCAUCGAAUCUUUGAACGCACCUUGCGCCUCUUGGUAUUCCGAGGGGCAUGCCUGUUUGAGUGUCGUUGAAUCCUCAAAAGGGAAGCUUGACUGUUUCUCUUUUGGAAUUGGGGUGUGCUGGCCUUUUGUCAAUGAAGCCCAGCUCCUCUAAAAUGCAUUAGCGAUGUGACAUCCGCAUGCACCACGCUUCUCUGGCAUUGAUAGUAUCUUCAUGCUAGGGGCGGGGUUUUGCAGCUGUGGAAGGCUUUGCUCGCUCACAACCGAUGGCGUGGAGAGGUGCCUUUGUGCCUCCUCACCUAUCCUCUGACAAUAUCACCUCAAAUCAGGUCGGAUUACCCGCCGCAAUUAAGCCUAUCAAUAAGCGGAGGA